AUUUAUAUAAUACCAUAAGUAUAUUUAAUUUCCAAUUAAAAAGUUUAAGUUUUUAAUAUAAAUA
RNAcentral lists this transfer RNA (64 nucleotides) under Eumacrocentrus sp. QL-2013. RNAcentral's name for it is "tRNA-Gly". Lineage: Eukaryota; Metazoa; Arthropoda; Insecta; Hymenoptera; Braconidae. The record is from RNAcentral.